Molecule: ribosomal RNA, 468 nt
Filed under: uncultured bacterium
Lineage: Bacteria
Description: partial 16S ribosomal RNA
Rfam family: Bacterial small subunit ribosomal RNA
Source: RNAcentral
GACGAACGCUGGCGGCGUGCUUAACACAUGCAAGUCGAACGGAAAGGCCCUGCUUUUGUGGGGUGCUCGAGUGGCGAACGGGUGAGUAACACGUGAGUAACCUGCCCUUGACUUUGGGAUAACUUCAUGAAACUGGGGCUAAUACCGGCUAGGAGCUCCUGCUGCAUGGUGGGGGUUGGAAAGUUUCGGCGGUUGGGGAUGGACUCGCGGCUUAUCAGCUUGUUGGUGGGGUAGUGGCUUACCAAGGCUUUGACGGGUAGCAGGCCUGAGAGGGUGACCGGCUACAUUGGGACUGAGAUACGGCCCAGACUACUACGGGAGGCAGCAGUGGGGAAGAUUGCACAAGGGGCGGAAGCCUGAUGCAGCCACGCCGCGUGCGGGAUGACGGCCUUCGGGUUGUAAACCGCUUUCGCCUGUGACGAAGCGUGAGUGACGGUAAUGGGUAAAGAAGCACCGGCUAACUACGUG